This 496-nucleotide ribosomal RNA is filed under the name uncultured bacterium. RNAcentral's name for it is "partial 16S ribosomal RNA". It matches the Rfam family "Bacterial small subunit ribosomal RNA", at positions 28 to 506 of the family's 1533-position model. The record is from RNAcentral.
GAUGAACGCUGGCGGCGUGCCUAAUACAUGCAAGUCGAGCGAACGGACGAGAAGCUUGCUUUUCUGAUGUUAGCGGCGGACGGGUGAGUAACACGUGGAUAACCUACCUAUAAGACUGGGAUAACUUCGGGAAACCGGAGCUAAUACCGGAUAAUAUUUUGAACCGCAUGGUUCAAAAGUGAAAGACGGUCUUGCUGUCACUUAUAGAUGGAUCCGCGCUGCAUUAGCUAGUUGGUAAGGUAACGGCUUACCAAGGCAACGAUGCAUAGCCGACCUGAGAGGGUGAUCGGCCACACUGGAACUGAGACACGGUCCAGACUCCGACGGGAGGCAGCAGUAGGGAAUCUUCCGCAAUGGGCGAAAGCCUGACGGAGCAACGCCGCGUGAGUGAUGAAGGUCUUCGGAUCGUAAAACUCUGUUAUUAGGGAAGAACAUAUGUGUAAGUAACUGUGCACAUCUUGACGGUACCUAAUCAGAAAGCCACGGCUAACUACGU